AUUGAACGCUGGCGGCAUGCUUUACACAUGCAAGUCGAACGGUAACAGGCCGCAAGGUGCUGACGAGUGGCGAACGGGUGAGUAAUGCAUCGGAACGUGCCCAGUCGUGGGGGAUAACGCAGCGAAAGCUGCGCUAAUACCGCAUACGAUCUAUGGAUGAAAGCGGGGGACCGUAAGGCCUCGCGCGAUUGGAGCGGCCGAUGUCAGAUUAGGUAGUUGGUGGGGUAAAAGGCUCACCAAGCCAACGAUCUGUAGCUGGUCUGAGAGGACGACCAGCCACACUGGGACUGAGACACGGCCCAGACUCCUACGGGAGGCAGCAGUGGGGAAUUUUGGGACAAUGGGCGCAAGCCUGAUCCAGCAAUGCCGCGUGCAGGAAGAAGGCCUCGGUUGUAACUAGCUUUGUACGGUAACGAAAAGGACGUCUGGUUAAUACCUGGGCGACAUGACGGUACCGUAAGAAUAAGACACCGGCUAACUACGUAGCCAGCAG
Molecule: ribosomal RNA, 493 nt
Filed under: uncultured bacterium
Lineage: Bacteria
Description: bacterial SSU rRNA
Rfam family: Bacterial small subunit ribosomal RNA
Source: RNAcentral